CUUUAACAAAACUAUCCGCCAGAGAACUACUAGCAACAGCUUAAAACUCAAAGGACUUGGCGGUGCUUUAUAUCCCUCUAGAGGAGCCUGUUCUAUAAUCGAUAAACCCCGAUACACCUCACCAUCUCUUGCUAAUUCAGCCUAUAUACCGCCAUCUUCAGCAAACCCUAAAAAGGAAAAAAAGUAAGCACAAGUAUCUUAACACAAAAAAGUUAGGUCAAGGUGUAGCCCAUGAGAUGGGAAGCAAUGGGCUACAUUUUCUAAAUUAGAACACCCACGAAAAUCCUUAUGAAACUAAGUAUUAAAGGAGGAUUUAGUAGUAAAUUUGAGAAUAGAGAGCUCAAUUGAAUUGGGCCAUGAAGCACGCACACACCGCCCGUC
Molecule: ribosomal RNA, 381 nt
Filed under: Prionailurus viverrinus (fishing cat)
Lineage: Eukaryota; Metazoa; Chordata; Mammalia; Carnivora; Felidae
Description: partial small subunit ribosomal RNA
Rfam family: Bacterial small subunit ribosomal RNA
Source: RNAcentral